AUGACUUUAAUGAUGGUUCUAUCUACAGAAGGGAGAGGGAGGGAGACAGAGAAGAGAGGGAGACAGAAGAGAGGGGGAGACAAGAGAGGGGGAGACAGAGAAGAGAGGGAGACAGAGAAGAGGGGGAGACAGAGAAGAGGGGGAGACAGAGAAGAGGGGGAGACAGAGAAGAGAGGGAGACAGAGAAGAGGGAGAGACAGAGAAGAGAGGGAGGGAGACAGAAGAGAGGGAGACAGAGAAGAGAGGGAGACAGAGAAGAGAAGGAGAGACAGAAGAGAGGGAGAGACAGAGAAGAGAGGGAGGGAGACAGAAGAGAGGGAGACAGAAGAAAGGGAGACAGAAGAGAGGGAGACAGAGAAGAGGGGGAGACAGAGAAGAGAGGGAGACAGAGAAGAGGGAGAGACAGAGAAGAGGGAGAGACAGAGAAGAGGGGGAGACAGAGAAGAGAGGGAGACAGAGAAGAGGGAGAGACAGAGAAGAGAAGGAGAGACAGAAGAGAGGGAGAGACAGAGAAGAGAGGGAGGGAGACAGAAGAGAGGGAGACAGAAGAAAGGGAGACAAAAGAGAGGGAGACAGAAGAGAGGGAGACAGAGAAGAGGGGGAGACAAAGAAGAGAGAGGGAGACAGAAGAGAGGGAGACAGAAGAGAGGGAAACAGAGAAGAGAGGGAAACAGAGAAGAGGGGGAGACAGACGAGGGAGACAGACAAGAGAGGGAGACAGAGAAGAGAGGGAGAGAGAGAAGAGAGGGAGACAGAGAAGAGAGGGAGACAAAGAAGAGCGGGAGACAGAGAAGAGAGAGGGAGACAGAAGAGGGGGAGACAGAGAAGAGAGAGGGAGACAGAGGAGAGAGGGAGACAGAGAAGAGGGGGAGACAGAGAAGAGAGGGGGAGACAGAGAAGAGCGGGAGACAGAGAAGAGAGAGGGAGAGAGAGAAGAGGGAGGGAGAGAGAGAAGAGAGAGGGAGAGAGAGAAGAGAGAGAGGGAGAGAGAAGAGAGAGGGAGACAAAGAGAGAGGGAGACGGAGAAGGGAGAGAGGGAGAGAGAGAAGAGAGAGGGGGAGAGAGAAGAGAGAGAGGGAGAGAGAGAAGAGAGGGAGAGCGAGGGAGACAGAGAAGAGAGGGAGACAGAGAAGAGAGGGGAGACAGAGAAGAGGGAGGGAGAGAGGGAGACAGAGAAGAGAGGGGGAGACAGAGAAGAGAGAGGGAGACAGAGAAGAGAGAGGGAGACAGAGAAGAGAGAGGGAGACAGAGAAGAGAGAGGGAGAGAGAGAAGAGAGGGAGAGAGAGGGAGAUAGAGAAGAGAGAGAAGAGAGAGGGAGAGAGAGAAGAGAGGGAGAGAGAGGGAGAGAGAGAAGAGAGGGAGACAGAGAAGAGAGGGAGACAGAGAAGAGAGGGGAGACAGAGAAGAGGGAGGGAGAGAGGGAGACAGAGAAGAGAGGGAGACAGAGAAGAGAGGGAGACAGAGAAGAGAGGGAGACAGAGAAGAGAGGGAGACAGAGAAGAGAGGGGAGACAGAGAAGAGGGAGGGAGAGAGAGAAGAGAGGGAGACAGAGAAGGGAGGGGAGACAAAGAGAAGAGAGGGAGCCAAAGAGAAGAGAGGGAGACAGAGAAGAGGGAGACAGAGAAGAGAGGGAGCCAAAGAGAAGAGAGGGAGACAGAGAAGAGGGAGACAGAGAAGAGAGAGGGAGAGAAGGAAGAGAGAGGGAGGGAGAAAGAGAGUCCGAGAUGACAUCAAUUAAUCCAGCAUUUCAAUUAAACUCAUCAGCUCUUCCACAGCUCACCUCAAGAGACAGACGUGAGGGGAAUAUGAUAAAACUGCUAAAUAAAAUGUCUUCCCUGGCA
Long non-coding RNA from Oncorhynchus mykiss (rainbow trout), 1842 nucleotides. The record is from Ensembl. Lineage: Eukaryota; Metazoa; Chordata; Actinopteri; Salmoniformes; Salmonidae.